AUUGAACGCUGGCGGCAGGCCUAACACAUGCAAGUCGAACGGUAACAGGAAACAGCUUGCUGUUUCGCUGACGAGUGGCGGACGGGUGAGUAAUGUCUGGGAAACUGCCUGAUGGAGGGGGAUAACUACUGGAAACGGUAGCUAAUACCGCAUAACGUCGCAAGACCAAAGAGGGGGACUCUCGGGCCUCUUGCCAUCGGCUGUGCCCAGAUGGGGUUCGCUUGUUGGUGGGGUAACGGCUCACCAAGGCGACGAUCCCUAGCUGGUCUGAGAGGAGGACCGGCCCCCCGGAAACGGGGAACGGGCCCGACUCCCACGGGAGGGCGCAGGUGGGAAAUUUUGGAAAUGGGCGGAAGCCUUACGGAGCCAAGGCGGGUGUGUUAAAAAGGUCUUUGGGUUGUUAAAGUCUUUUACGGGGGGAGAAAGGGAGUAAAAUUAACACCUUUCCUCAUUGCGGUUCCCAACAAGAAAGCCACGGCUAACUCCGUG
Molecule: ribosomal RNA, 489 nt
Filed under: uncultured bacterium
Lineage: Bacteria
Description: partial 16S ribosomal RNA
Rfam family: Bacterial small subunit ribosomal RNA
Source: RNAcentral